This 497-nucleotide ribosomal RNA is filed under the name uncultured bacterium. Its description in RNAcentral is "partial 16S ribosomal RNA". It matches the Rfam family "Bacterial small subunit ribosomal RNA", at positions 28 to 507 of the family's 1533-position model. The record is from RNAcentral.
GAUGAACGCUGGCGGCGUGCCUAAUACAUGCAAGUCGAGCGAACAGACGAGGAGCUUGCUCCUCUGACGUUAGCGGCGGACGGGUGAGUAACACGUGGAUAACCUACCUAUAAGACUGGGAUAACUUCGGGAAACCGGAGCUAAUACCGGAUAAUAUAUUGAACCGCAUGGUUCAAUAGUGAAAGACGGUUUUGCUGUCACUUAUAGAUGGAUCCGCGCCGCAUUAGCUAGUUGGUAAGGUAACGGCUUACCAAGGCAACGAUGCGUAGCCGACCUGAGAGGAGGAUGGCCCACACGGGAAUGGAGACAGGUUCCAGACACAUGCGGGGGGAGCAAGUAGGGAAUCUUCCGCAAUGGGCGAAAGCCUGAGGGAGCAAGCCGGCGGGGGGGAGGAAGGUCUUCGGAUCUAAAAACUUUUUUAUUGGGGAAAAAAAAAUGUGUAAUUAACUAUGCACGUCUUGAGGGUACCUAAUCAGAAAGCCACGGCUAACUCCGUG